AGAAAGUUUCAGCAUGAGAUGAAAACUAAACAGCAACAAAAAAACCCCAUUGUCGCAACAGCACGUGGGUUUGUGAGCAAUGCGGGAAUCUGUUUAAAAUGGAAAAAAUAGGAGUGCUCAGUUAUUUUUAUGACGAGUGGAGGAGUAACGGAGGUAGUGCUGUUUUAAUUUUAAAGCCAGAUAUUUGAGGAAGUGGAUUGCAGCAGUUGUUUCAUGUUUAAUUAUUUCUCAAGCUGCCGUUCAGCUGAAGAGAAGAACGAUAAAGCAGUGGUUGCUGCUGUUGUCUUGAGUGAGUUAUGCCACUCCUCUCUACGGGAUCUGAACCAGUGAAGACCUUUUUUAUGCUGUUUUUUCCUGCACUGAUUUACAGUUUCUUCUCAUGACAAAUCUUUCAGAAGUGGCAGCACACAGAAAAUGGUACGUCAUGCAAAGAUGUCAAAUGCGCUGCUGACUGUCUUGCUCUUCUUAUUUCCAAUGCGGCUAUCAGGACAUUGGUUUCCCAAAACUUUACCCUGUGAUGUGGAAGCCUUUGAAGGUACUGUGAGAGUAGACUGCAGCGAUCGUCACCUCACGGAAGUCCCCAGAGGGAUCCCUGGAAACGCUACUAACCUGACCCUGACUAUUAACCAUAUCCCCCAUAUCUCUCCAGCAUCCUUUAUUCAGCUUGAAAACCUUGUGGAGAUUGACUUCAGAUGCAACUGCGUGCCUCCCAGACUGGGGCCCAAAGACAGUGUGUGCACCACACCACCAUCAAUUGAGAAUGGCAGUUUUGCCGCUCUGACAAGACUGAAGUCAUUGUAUUUGGAUGCAAACCAACUGUCAGAAAUACCCCAGGGUCUUCCUGCUAGUCUACGACUGCUGAGUCUGGAAGCAAACAAAAUUUUUUCUAUUAAAAAAAACACUUUUUCAGGGCUAAGAAAUAUAGAAUUACUGUAUCUGGGACAGAAUUGUUACUACCGUAAUCCGUGCAAUGUUUCUUUUGAAAUUGAAAAAACAGCCUUUCUGAAUCUGAAAAAUUUGACAGUACUCUCCCUGAAGUCUAACAACUUAACUUUUAUUCCACCCAACUUGUCUUCAACUUUAAAAGAAUUGUAUAUUUACAAUAACAGAAUUCAAGAGGUUCAGGAACAUGAUUUAAGUACCCUUCACAACCUAGAAAUUCUUGAUCUCAGUGGCAAUUGCCCACGUUGCUAUAAUGCCCCAUAUCCUUGUACUCCCUGCCCUAAUAUCUCAAUUAAGAUUCAUUCAAAGGCUUUUUAUUCCUUGAAAAAAUUAAGAAUUUUGAGGCUCCACAGUAACUCUCUUCGGAGUAUACCAAGCAGCUGGUUUAAAAACAUCAAGAAUCUCAAAGAUCUUGACCUCUCCCAAAACUUCCUCAUAAAGGAGAUUGGAGACGCUCAGUUUUUGAAGCUUAUUCCCAGUCUUGUAGAGCUGGAUCUGUCCUUUAAUUUUGAAUUGCAGAUGUAUUCUCCAUCCUUGAAUCUGUCUAAGACAUUUUCCUCCCUCUCUAACCUGGAAACCCUAAGAAUCAAGGGUUAUGUCUUUAAAGAACUGAGAGAAGGAAAUCUAGAUCCAUUACUCGGUCUUAGAAAUCUGACAGUGUUGGAUCUUGGGACUAAUUUUAUUAAAAUUGCUGACCUAAGAGUGUUCAAGAAAUUCCAAGCUCUCAAAAUCAUAGAUCUCUCAGUGAAUAAAAUUUCUCCUUCUUCAGGUGAAAGUAACUUUUAUGGAUUUUUCUCUGAUCCCAGGAUUACAGUAGAGCAAUACAGCAGGCAAGUUUUACAAGAGAUGCAUUACUUUAGGUAUGAUGAGUAUGGUCGAAGUUGCAAGUCCAAAGACAAAGAGGCUGAUUCCUACCAACCUUCGGUCAAUGAAGAUUGCAUGAAUUAUGGAAAAACUCUAGAUUUAAGCAGAAACAACAUAUUUUUUGUUAACUCUGUAGACUUCCAGGAUCUUAGUUUCCUCAAAUGCCUCAACUUGUCAGGUAAUGCCAUAAGUCAAACUUUAAAUGGAAGCGAAUUCUGCUACCUGUCUGGAUUGAAAUAUCUGGAUUUUUCUAACAACAGGAUUGAUUUGCUAUACUCAACUGCUUUCAAAGAGCUGAAAUUUUUAGAAAUUCUAGAUCUGAGCAACAACAAACAUUACUUUCUGGCAGAAGGUGUUAGUCAUGUGCUUAGUUUUAUGAAAAACUUGGCCUAUCUGAAGAAGCUGAUGAUGAAUGAGAAUGAGAUUUCUACCUCUAUUAGCAUGGGGAUGGAAAGUCAAUCUCUUAAAACUUUAGAAUUUCGGGGAAAUCGUUUAGAUAUUUUUUGGGCAGAUGGGAAGACUGAAUAUCUGUCAUUCUUCAAGAAUCUGACCAAACUGGAACAACUGGAUAUUUCCUCUAACAUGCUCAGCUUUUUACCUCCUGGUGUUUUUUCAGCUAUGCCUCCAGAACUCAAGAUACUGAAUUUAACCAGUAACCGGUUGAAGACAUUCAAUUGGGGAAAACUCUACUUAUUGACCAGGCUAAUAACUCUGGACCUCAGCAAUAACCUUCUGACUACUGUUCCCCGAAAGCUGUCCAAUUGCACUUCAACUCUUCAAGAACUGAUACUCCGAAACAAUCGUAUUACACGGAUAACCAAAUAUUUUCUCAGAGGUGCCAUUACGUUGUCAUACUUGGACCUCAGCUCAAACAAGAUCCAAAUAAUUAAGAAAUCUAGCUUCCCUGAAAAUAUCAUAAACAACCUGAGGAUGCUGCUUUUGCACAACAAUCCUUUCAAGUGCAACUGUGAUGCAGUAUGGUUUGUUGGGUGGAUCAAUCAGACUCACGUGACAAUUCCUUUUCUGGCCACAGAUGUGACCUGUGCUGGCCCAGGGGCACACAAAGGAAGGAGCUUGGUUUUCCUGGAUCUGAAUACCUGUGAGCUGGACACAUCCUAUUUGAUCAUGUAUGCUUUAUCAACUUCAGCUGUCCUAAGUUUAAUAACGUUUGCAGUUAUGAGUCACCUCUAUUUCUGGGAUGUCUGGUAUAGCUAUCAUUACUGCACUGCCAAGUUGAAAGGCUAUAGACGUUUACCUUUACCAGAUACCUGCUAUGAUGCUUUUAUUGCCUAUGACAAUACUGAUCUGGCUGUGAAUGAAUGGGUGAUGACAGAAUUGGUUGAAAAGCUGGAAGAUCAAAAAGCCAGACAGUUCAAUUUAUGCUUGGAAGAAAGAGACUGGCUUCCAGGACAGCCAGUCUUUGACAACCUUUCCCAGAGUAUUCAACUGAGCAAAAAGACCAUAUUUGUGCUGACCAACAAGUAUAUUAAAAGUGGCACUUUCAAGACAACAUUUUACAUGGCCCACCAACGACUUCUAGAUGAAAAAAUUGAUGUGAUUAUCUUGAUAUUUCUUGAGAAAGUAUUACAGAAGUCCCGAUAUGUUCAGCUGAGGAAGAGGCUAUGCAGAAGUUCUGUUCUGGAAUGGCCAACUAACCCUCGAUCUCAGCCUUACUUCUGGCAGUGUCUGAAAAAUGCCAUAGCUGUGAACAAUACCCUGGCUUACAACAAACUUCUCCAGGAGACUGUUUAGCUUUACUGCUCCCUGUAAAAUACUGUUACUGUGUGUGGUGAGGAAAAGAUACUGAACUUGCUAUGGAGAAAAUGUGAAAGUGGAGAGGAUAAAUGUAAUUGUGAUAUGAUUCUCAAAAAUGAAAUGCACAAUCUGUUCCAAAGAUAAUAAUUCAAUUGUUUCACUAUGACAACAUUAAAUAUAAACUGUUGCCAGCACAGAUGUUUAGCUGAUGCACACCUCAUUUAACAUUUGCAGCAAGAGAAGAUGCAACAGAGUCACCACUCCCUGUUUCAGUUCAUUGGAGAACAUCUGACAUCACCUGGCUGGGUCAAGUGUGAGUGAGUCAAUUGAUCAGCGCAAUCUAGUUCCCAGGAUGCUAGGAGGAGUUCAGUCAUGCUUGAGAUUGCUGCUGUUUGGAUCACUGUUGUAGUAAACGUAAUUUUAAUAGAAAAAUAUUGUUAAUGCAUUUGUGUCUAUUUAUGAAAACAGGAAAAAACACAAAAUGUUAAUUUCAGAAAAUACUUUAGGUGAAUUUCAUGUUUAGGAGUUGGGGAAAUGUAUGCAUGAUUAACUCUGCAACUCAGGCUUCCAUCUGCUGAGCCUACCAGUUCUGCUUGACGGGGCAACAGCGCUAGCCACUGGGGAGAUGAUAUGCUGGUGGGACUUAUGGCAGAAGCUUGGAUGAGGUAUGGGAGAUCUCCCAUCUCCCACUGCUGCAUUGUCACAAAGGUUGUAAAUCAGAAAAGAUUUUGAAGAACUUGCAUGUACCAAAAUGGGAAAGUGUGAGAGAAGAGAAACAAGUCAGAAGAGCUUGCAAGCUGUGGAUCAGGAGGAAUUACAAGAUUAUUCUCACUCAUCACUUACUCAGAAUAUUUGAGAUCCACAGGUCUGUGUGGAAGAACUACAUUCAGACAAGACUAUGCUUUUGAACGUUGCAGCUCAAUGCUCCAUCCCACUCAUAAUAAAAUCUUAUAACUUAAUUCUCCAGUUAUCUUGGAGCAUAUUUUGAGGGCUGGUAGAAACACAGUCACUAAGCUGUGCUCAUUUAUUUAUUCUGAACUCACGUUUGUGAUGCAAAAGCAGCAACUUCCAAAAAAGGAUUUUAGUAAGCCUUGCUCUAUUGGACAAACAAGUUGCAAACACAAACUGAAGACAUACUCCUUCCCAACUAGUUUACUUCUACUUCCUGUGGCUGAAAUUCUGCGAACAAAAUCCUGUUCUGAGGUGAAAUCCAGGCCUUCCAAGAUUCUUGACCUUCAAGCAAAGACAUUAAUCCAAUAGCAGUUAUGUAAAUAUAUGUACACAUACAUGUACAUAUACACGUAUAUUCAAAACACCUUCAGCUAUAAAGAAAAAAAUGUAAUUUUUGAUGUCAUAUUAACUCAAUUUCAACUAUUUUGAAUAAUCCAUCAACAAAUUUCACAGAAAGAAUGUGGUUUAUGUAUUUGUAGGAAAAAUAUCCAGUACACAAACCCCAUAAAUCGUGCUAAAUACAUAAAUAAUUCUAAAGAAAGAAGAACCUAAAAGUGCAAAACAUACACAUUUUCUCAAAGUAACAUUCUAUUCUCAGGAACAAAAAUGAACUGAUGGUCUAAGACUGGAACAGUUCUCAAAUAUUUUCUUGUAUUAGUAAUUUUACAUGUAGUGAGUGACAGAAAUACAGAGAGAGAACAGAGGGCUUUUUUGUCAUCUGUUUCUUACAGAUAUUUAUACAUUUAUUUUUAAUCACUAAGCUUCUUUUGCAACUGUAUAUUUCAUUCAAACCUAAUACAACUACUGCAUUAUCUACUAUGGAAAUAUAUUCAUUACUUAUCAGCGUAACUUAUCUAUUGUUCACUGUUAGACUUCCUAUAUUACAGUAUGUUAUCCAAGAUGAGUACACUCUAAAGACCUUGAAUUGUAUUUGGUUAUGCCAUCAUUAAUGCCUUCUCAUCAUUUUGAAAAAAAGAAAUACAAACACUAUUUCUCUUCUGUAUUUCUCUAGUCUCAUCUUUCAGACCCCCUUUUAUCCCUUCAUCUAGUAGACUGGAGAAUGCCCUCCUUAUAGACAUUUUCCCCCAUUUUUUAUCCCUGAGCUAUGAUCAAAUCAAUUCCUCAUUUUCUCUCUCUUGAAUAAAUCAGCUCUGCUUUUCAAACAAGAAAAAAUAAAGCUUCUCUUUUUCAGUCUCUCAUGGGAAGACAUUUGAACUAGCAAGUGCCACAAUGAGCAGAGAGGUAAAAGAAGAGAUGCUCAGCUUGCUUUAGAUGGAGGCAGCUGGCUUGCAUGACAAAGCUAGGAGGGAGCCUGGGGAGCCCCAGACCAGCUCUUGCCACAGGCAGCUAUUCCAGAAAGAGCUAGGCUGCCACCAUCUGCUGUGGACUCCUAGGUGCUCCUUAAAGUUCUUUCCUUGGGAAUACCAAAAGUUAUGUUUUAGGCCACCAGACUCAGCUGUUUUCUCAGACUUUCUACUUAAGAAAGUAAGCUUAAGAAGGAUGAGCAGAGACUAUGGAAUUCUGCAGACACAAAGAACUUCUGAAUGAAAGAUGAAUGUAUCCAGAUCCCAUGUAAGCUCACACUCAUUUCCAAAUCUUCUAUGUGUUUUUUAACUAUGAUACAUUGGUUAUCAUAGUUAUAUGGUAUAUAUAUAUUGGUAUAUCAUGGCUAUUGGUUAUUAUAUAUAUAUAUAUAUGUAUGUAUGUAUGUAUCUUAAGUUUAAAAUUACAUUAACUUUUGUUCAUAAAUUCCUAAAUUUCUGGUAACUUCUUGCACUCUCUUUUUCUCUUCUUCCCUAAUGAAGAAACAUAGAAUGUCUUGGAUUGGAAGAGACCCCAAGGAUCAUCAAGUUCCAACCCCCCUGCCACAGGCAGAGCCACCAACCUCCAGAUUUAAUACUAGACCAGGCUACCCAGAGCCCCAUCCAGCCUGGCCUUGAACACUUCCAGUGUUGGGGCAUCCACAGAUUCUCUGGGCAGUCUGUUCCAGUGCCUUAUCGCUCUCUCUGUAAAGAAUUUCUCCCUGACAUCAAAGUUAAUCAUAAUGGAUCAUAAUACAUCGCUAAAUACACAGCAGAACAGAGUAGCUCUUGUGUCUCAGCAUUAUUGUAGUUAUUUUUCAUGGACAGGUCUGAAAAAUUUCUUAUACUAUAGCUGAAUAGAAAUUUUAUGGUGGUAGAAUGAAACAACACAAACUACAGCAUGAUCAGAAUUUGAAUCUGGUGUAUUUCUGUUCUAGAGAAAACCAUCAUGAGAUGGUUAGUUCUCAAUGAAUCCCCACAUUCCCCUGCCUGCUGAUCAUCAUGUGCCUGCCCACCCAGCAAGUGAACAUACUGAUUCUACUUCUUAUUUUUCUUUACACUUUUUAUUGAGCUUCUCCUUUAUCUUCUUUCCACUUCUUGUUUCAUGGGAACUCUUUCUGCAGAGCAGACAAAUGGACUCAACAUUAAUCUCAAAUGCCUAUAUUCUGCAUUAUGCUUUAUCCUCAUUUUAGAUGAUAAAAUUUCUCAUGGCAGCUAUUCACUUUGGGAUAUUUCAUAUGCAUCCAUAUACCUAUGCAUUAAAUAAAAUCAUAUUCCAUAUGAUUUUGCAUAUUGCAUAUUGCACAAAAUCAAAGUAUAUCCAGGAAGAAACUUCAUAUCAUUUUAAAAGGAUAAAGAAGAAACAUGCUUAAGUUGCAAAUCCACAGGCAUUUCUCGUUCAGUUCAUUGCAGAAACACCACUGAACUUAUUACCACCAUUUAUUUGUCAUUUCUACAAAUAAAUGGUUAUCUCCUUCAGCAUGAAUCCAUAUUUAAUUUUUUUUUUCUGUUCAUCAUGAAAAUGCUUUAGGUUAUUUUUAAUUUGUGUUACUGUGCCUUGCAGUGUAGGGUAGGAAGAGCCAUCCUAGCAAAUUGAACUGUAUUUCAAGCUUAUUUCUACAUCUGUUGUAAAUGUAAACAAUUUUUGAAUUAUGUAGCAACUAGUAUAGUAGUUACAUUAAUAUAGUGACUUUAUAACAUUUUUCAUCAUAAAAGCUUUUCCUUCAGGCUACUUCUUAUCUUACUGGAGAGUCUUUCAAGACUUGCAGUAGCUCAUGCAAAUGUUCCCUACAUGUUUUAUUCAUGUGGAGGUGUUUGCCCACAAGUCGAUGACCAGAAUACAAUCUAUAUUCACAUUGGCCAUUUUAGUACAGAUGAUGGGUACACUGCUUCAUCUGCACUACUGUAAUUCCUUAUUUUAGUAUGUGAAAAACAACAUCACUGAGCUUUGAGUUUAAGCGAGGCUUGGAAGAACUAAAGGAAUAAAGUAUCCUAAAAUCAUGACAGUUUAAGGGAUUACUCAAGUGUAUUUUGACAACUUUUAGAACUCUGAUUUUUACAUUGGACUGGAUUUGAUAUGUUAAACCUAAAGAAUGCACUAAGAAAGGUCUCCAGCCUUUUUGAACAUCAAAGGCAACUUUAUCAACUUUAAAAUUGUUAAAGAAAAGGUAUCUGAAAUUCAGUCAUUGCUGAGGAUGCUACCCAGAGAUCCUCCACCUGCUGUUACAUGGUUGAGGUUUGUGUCAAGCAGUGAUAUGUGUAUAAGAACUGUUUCUGAGCACAAAAAAAUUGAAGGAGAUGGGAGGGGAAGAAAACUGGUGCUUUGGUGUCAGCUCUGGAAAAUCUCUUCCCACGCUGUAUGGGACUUUCUCACUCUCACCAACAUGACCUUGCAGACACUGUCUCACUGUAACCUGACAUGGAUGCCAUACUACUUACCCAUAUUUCUGUAGCACCUUAUCUAAGUCUAAAUACCUCAACGCUACUUUUCCAUGUGAACAUAGCUCUGGAAGCCCAUUCAAAUGCAUCCUUAACAAAGAUCUCAGUUUUGACUAGCAUUACAUUUCCCCAUAUUCCUGCCAUCUGCUUUCAGAAUUGGCAGAGCUGUAAAAAUGUCCCUUCUGUGGAUGAUUACUACACAUGGGUGAUAGCCUUCGAAGAGCUCAUACAGAGUUCAUGCACUCUUGUGGAAGAGGAUUUAUCUUUCAAUUACCAGAAGCAAAUGUAAUACCAUUAUCUAAAGCUUUCUCAGCACUUGUUAAUCCUGAUAUCAUUGCAGCAUAUGAACUUAUGAUUGAAACAAUUAUGUGCUUAAAGGGCAUUUUCAAAGAGCUAAACAAAGCAUAUGCAAACCUCAAUUUAUCCUUAAAAAAAGUAAAUGUCCUUGAUCUUGGUCAAGGACAAACUUCAUUAGAAAAACUGACAGACAUGUAUACAAGGAAUUAGAUAAUCUUGCAGACCUAUUCUUGAAAGAAUAACCAUAUAUUUCCACAAUCAAGGGGAAAUAGUAUUUUUCUUAAUAGCACGAGAAAAAAAGUAUAAAUGAUUACUCUCAGUUGAUACAGAAAUUCAAGUCACAAGCAUCAUUAAUAAUCUGAUAGACAAAAAGAGCAUAUGUACUAUUCAGAUAAUCAACACCGUAAACAAUACCAAAGUAUCUUGGAUUUGGGUAAAAAAAUAUUUUCUUAUAUUUUCAUAUAAAAGAGUUUAAAUUUCUUAAGGGUGUAGCUUGUUUGAUUUUUUCUUCAAAUACUGUGGUGAGGUUUUCAACAACACUGAAUUUAUCUUUCACCUAAUCUGUGAUAUUUACAUCUCUUAACAAAUUGAACACACCAGUUAUUUUGCAUUUAAAAAGGUGCAUAAUGUCAAGGUAACAGACUUCAGCUAUUACAGAUUUUAUAUUUUAGUGGUAGAUUUGGCAUAUUUAUUGAAAACAUUCCUGAAUUAAAGAUUUCUCAUUUAAACUUGAAUGAGAUUUCUCCACCAUUAGCAUUUUAACUAGGAAGUUCUUCCCUUCCGAAAUGAGGCUUCAGGGAAAGGUAUAUUUUUAUUAUAUGACGAAAUGGAAACAAAUUAUAUAGGAUUAUGUAGGUUAGAACUCUUCUUAU
Lagopus muta (rock ptarmigan) is the source of this 9421-nucleotide RNA transcript. It is a transcript of the gene named toll like receptor 7, with no coding region annotated. The transcript has 3 exons. The record is from RefSeq and is a predicted model, not a curated record. Lineage: Eukaryota; Metazoa; Chordata; Aves; Galliformes; Phasianidae.